AGCGGACGCUGGCGGCAGGCCUAACACAUGCAAGUCGAACGAACUCUUCGGAGUUAGUGGCGGACGGGUGAGUAACACGUGGGAACGUGCCUUUUGGUUCGAAAUAACUCAGGGAAACUUGUGCUAAUACCGAAUGUGCCCUUCGGGGGAAAGAUUUAUCGCCAUUAGAGCGGCCCGCGUCUGAUUAGCUAGUUGGUGAGGUAACGGCUCACCAAGGCGACGAUCAGUAGCUGGUCUGAGAGGAUGACCAGCCACACUGGGACUGAGACACGGCCCAGACUCCUACGGGAGGCAGCAGUGGGGAAUCUUGCGCAAUGGGCGAAAGCCUGACGCAGCCAUGCCGCGUGAAUGAUGAAGGUCUUAGGAUUGUAAAAUUCUUUCACCGGGGACGAUAAUGACGGUACCCGGAGAAGAAGCCCCGGCUAACUUCGUG
RNAcentral lists this ribosomal RNA (433 nucleotides) under uncultured bacterium. Its description in RNAcentral is "partial 16S ribosomal RNA". It matches the Rfam family "Bacterial small subunit ribosomal RNA", at positions 29 to 507 of the family's 1533-position model. The record is from RNAcentral.